GAUGGAAGCUGCAGGCACCUACCAUGUGGACAAAUGAGAAAAUAACCUUGUCUACAGAAGGCAGCAAUCCUACAUAAAUAUGGAGGUCCCUUUCUGAAUUAGGACAGCUGGCUAAAUAUGAUCAUGCCCCUCCAUAUAAC
This 140-nucleotide small nucleolar RNA is filed under the name Jaculus jaculus (lesser Egyptian jerboa). RNAcentral describes it as "Small Cajal body specific RNA 3 (ENSJJAG00000008637.1)". It matches the Rfam family "Small Cajal body specific RNA 3". Rfam says of the family: scaRNAs are a specific class of small nuclear RNAs which localise to the Cajal bodies and guide the modification of RNA polymerase II transcribed spliceosomal RNAs U1, U2, U4, U5 and U12. The record is from Rfam by way of RNAcentral. Lineage: Eukaryota; Metazoa; Chordata; Mammalia; Rodentia; Dipodidae.